This 830-nucleotide ribosomal RNA is filed under the name uncultured bacterium. Its description in RNAcentral is "bacterial SSU rRNA". It matches the Rfam family "Bacterial small subunit ribosomal RNA", at positions 556 to 1390 of the family's 1533-position model. The record is from RNAcentral.
GGGCGUAAAGCGCGCGUAGGUGGCCAUUUAAGUCCGCUGUGAAAGUCAGAGGCUCAACCUUUGAAAGCCGGUGGAUACUGGAUGGCUAGAGUACGGAAGAGGCGAGUGGAAUUCCUGGUGUAGCGGUGGAAUGCGCAGAUAUCAGGAGGAACACCAAUAGCGAAGGCAGCUCGCUGGGACGUUACUGACACUAAGGCGCGAAAGCGUGGGGAGCGAACAGGAUUAGAUACCCUGGUAGUCCACGCCGUAAACGAUGGGUACUAGGUGUGGGAGGUGUCGACUCCUCCCGUGCCGUCGCUAACGCACUAAGUACCCCGCCUGGGGAGUACGGCCGCAAGGCUAAAACUCAAAGGAAUUGACGGGGGCCCGCACAAGCAGCGGAGCAUGUGGUUUAAUUCGACGCAACGCGAAGAACCUUACCUGGGCUUGACAUGUCAGUGACCGCCGUGGAAACACGGUUUUCCUUCGGGACACUGUCACAGGUGGUGCAUGGCUGUCGUCAGCUCGUGUCGUGAGAUGUUGGGUUAAGUCCCGCAACGAGCGCAACCCCCGUCCUAUGUUGCCAUCAUUAAGUUGGGGACUCAUAGGAGACUGCCGGUGACAAACCGGAGGAAGGUGGGGAUGACGUCAAGUCAUCAUGCCCCUUAUGUUCAGGGCUACACACGUGCUACAUUGGCGCAUACAAAGGGCAGCAAUACCGUGAGGUGGAGCAAAUCCCAUAAAGUGCGCCUCGGUUCGGAUUGGAGGCUGAACUCGCCUCCAUGAAGUGGAGUUGCUAGUAAUCGCAGAUCAGCAAUGCUGCGGUGAUACGUUCCCGGCCUUGUACUCAC